This 657-nucleotide ribosomal RNA is filed under the name [Candida] sp. CoadMA441. Its description in RNAcentral is "SSU rRNA". It matches the Rfam family "Eukaryotic small subunit ribosomal RNA", at positions 943 to 1617 of the family's 1831-position model. Lineage: Eukaryota; Fungi; Ascomycota; Saccharomycetes; Saccharomycetales. The record is from RNAcentral.
UAUAUCAAUUUGGCCAGAGGACGCUUUUCAUUAAUCAAUUAACCNAAAGAUUAGGGGAUCGAAGAUGAUCAGAUACCGUCGUAGUCUUAACCAUAAACUAUGCCGACUAGGGAUCGGGUGUUGUCCUUUUUUUGGCGCACUCGGCACCUUACGAGAAAUCAAAGUUUUUGGGUUCUGGGGGGAGUAUGGUCGCAAGGCUGAAACUUAAAGGAAUUGACGGAAGGGCACCACCAGGAGUGGAGCCUGCGGCUUAAUUUGACUCAACACGGGGAAACUCACCAGGUCCAGACACAAUAAGGAUUGACAGAUUGAGAGCUCUUUCUUGAUUUUGUGGGUGGUGGUGCAUGGCCGUUCUUAGUUGGUGGAGUGAUUUGUCUGCUUAAUUGCGAUAACGAACGAGACCUUAACCUACUAAAUAGUGCUGCUAGCUUUUGCUGGUAUAGUCACUUCUUAGAGGGACUAUCGAUUUCAAGUCGAUGGAAGUUUGAGGCAAUAACAGGUCUGUGAUGCCCUUAGACGUUCUGGGCCGCACGCGCGCUACACUGACGGAGCCAGCGAGUAUCUACCUUGGCCGAGAGGUCUGGGAAAUCUUUGUGAAACUCCGUCGUGCUGGGGAUAGAACAUUGUAAUUAUUGCUCUUCAACGAGGAAUUCCUAG